Molecule: unclassified non-coding RNA, 379 nt
Filed under: uncultured Pseudomonadota bacterium
Lineage: Bacteria; Pseudomonadati; Pseudomonadota
Description: uncultured proteobacterium contains 16S-23S intergenic spacer region
Source: RNAcentral
UCCGGUUUGUCACCGGCAGUCUCCUUAGAGUUCCCACCAUUACGUGCUGGCAACUAAGGACAAGGGUUGCGCUCGUUGCGGGACUUAACCCAACAUCUCACGACACGAGCUGACGACAGCCAUGCAGCACCUGUCUCACGGUUCCCGAAGGCACCCGCCCAUCUCUGAGCAGUUCCGUGGAUGUCAAGGCCAGGUAAGGUUCUGCGCGUUGCUUCGAAUUGAACCACAUGCUCCACCGCUUGUGUGAGCCCCCGUCAAUUCCUUUGAGUUUCAGCCUUGCGGCCGUACUCCCCAGGCGGAGUACUUAGCACAUUCGCUUCGUUACUGACCGGGUCGAUACGGCCAACAACUAGUAUCCAUCGUUUACGGCGUGGACUAC